This 281-nucleotide ribosomal RNA is filed under the name uncultured bacterium. RNAcentral describes it as "partial 16S ribosomal RNA". It matches the Rfam family "Bacterial small subunit ribosomal RNA", at positions 335 to 607 of the family's 1533-position model. The record is from RNAcentral.
ACUCCUACGGGAGGCACAGUGGGGGAAUAUUGCACAAUGGGGGGAAACCCUGAUGCAGCCAUGCCGCGUGUGUGAAGAAGGCCUUCGGGUUGUAAAGCACUUUCAGUAGGGAGGAAGGUAGUGUAGUUAACACCUGCAUUAUUUGAUGUUACCUACAGAAGAAGCACCGGCUAACUCCGUGCCAGCAGCCGCGGUAAUACGGAGGGUGCGAGCGUUAAUCGGAAUUACUGGGCGUAAAGCGCAUGCAGGCGGCCUGUUAAGUCAGAUGUGAAAGCCCGGGG